GAUGAACGCUAGCGGCAGGCUUAACACAUGCAAGUCGAGGGGCAGCGCGAUGUAGCAAUACAUUGGCGGCGACCGGCGCACGGGUGCGUAACACGUAUGGAACUUACCCUUUACUGGGAGAUAGCCCGGAGAAAUCCGGAUUAAUAUCCCAUAAUAAACGAGGUGGCAUCACUUUGUUUUGAAAGCUCCGGCGGUAAAGGAUGGCCAUGCGCACGAUUAGCUAGUAGGUGAGGUAACGGCUCACCUAGGCUACGAUCGUUAGGGGGCCUGAGAGGGUUAUCCCCCACACUGGUACUGAGACACGGACCAGACUCCUACGGGAGGCAGCAGUGAGGAAUAUUGCGCAAUGGAGGCAACUCUGACGCAGCCAUGCCGCGUGCAGGAAGAAGGCGCUACGCGUUGUAAACUGCUUUUAACCGGGAAGAAACCCCAGGACGUGUCCUGGGUUGACGGUACCGGAGGAAUAAGCACCGGCUAACUUCGUGCCAGCAGCCGCGGU
This 499-nucleotide ribosomal RNA is filed under the name uncultured bacterium. Its description in RNAcentral is "bacterial SSU rRNA". It matches the Rfam family "Bacterial small subunit ribosomal RNA", at positions 28 to 521 of the family's 1533-position model. The record is from RNAcentral.